UCUCUCUCUCUCUCUCAAUUUCGUGACGAAGAAUUCUCCCCUGCGAUUGAUCCCUGGAUCGAUGGAGUCCAAACUCGAUCAUUCCACCUGAGUCGGGGGAUUCCAACCCCACGAUGGCCAAGAAUUCUUUCAAGUUGGAGCAUCCCCUUGAAAUGUCAUAUUCACAGGAACACCUUAGAGAAUGAGCCUUGUGUUCGAGGAUAAGACAGUACCAUGACAUGACUCUACGGUAGGAAGUUGUAUAAACGAGACCAUCAAUUUUCUUUUGGCGUCAACAAAUUAGAGUUCACCUUUACUUACUUUGGUGGACAUGAAAAUAAUGAUAGGGUCGCAGGGGUGGUUUUCAAACACCUUCGGAAGAGGAUUAAGCUGGGUGCAGACAGAGAAGGCCAUCUUCGUUUUUGUCAAGAACACAUUGUCACCUACAGGUGAAAUGAUCUACUUCAUAUUCAGCUUGUAUUCUCCUUUUGCUAUAAGCUCAUGGCAUUGAUGUAUGACUCGCUGUUGCAGCUACAUUGAUGUCUGCCAUCUACGACGAACGCAAAGACGAAGAUGGUUUUCUUUCUUUACAUGACCUCUACAGCGGCGAGAGAACACAUUUGGCUCCUCCUAAGAUGCAGGAGCCAUCCUUGUAGAUAAAAAUCAUGGAAAGUUUAGCAUCCUUGUAGAUAAAAUUCAUGGGGAAUAUUAUCGAAUUUCAUGGCCAUACCAUACACUGUGGAAAUUGUGCUAAUUUUGUUUCUAAAUCAUUUAAAUCA
Molecule: non-coding RNA, 758 nt
Organism: Musa acuminata subsp. malaccensis (wild Malaysian banana)
Lineage: Eukaryota; Viridiplantae; Streptophyta; Magnoliopsida; Zingiberales; Musaceae
Source: RefSeq, a predicted model, not a curated record